Molecule: long non-coding RNA, 1107 nt
Filed under: Gadus morhua (Atlantic cod)
Lineage: Eukaryota; Metazoa; Chordata; Actinopteri; Gadiformes; Gadidae
Description: lncRNA (ENSGMOG00000028321.1)
Source: RNAcentral
UCAACAAUGUUAAGGAUCAAGAAAUUUGCUUAGAAUUUGCAUCACUAAUUCACAUGUCUGACAUGUUGCCUUUUCUGAUGCUAAACCUUUUUCUUUUAGGAUUAUAACAAUGAUACUGAAGACACCUCUAGUGUACUCCAGGGUCCUAACACUAGAGGCAAGUCAAAAGUUAAUCAACCUAAAAUGCAAGAUCUAGAAGAUUACCAGUAUGACUCAGACAGUUGCUUCGAAGUGGAUGCCACGGCCUCCAGCUUCCCCCAACCUCCAAACAGCCUCCUACCCAUCGAUGCUGUCCCAUGCUCAAAAAGUUCUCCAAACUCCAGGAUCCGCUCACCAUCCAGAUGUGGGACAGCCUCUAGCAUGGUCGCAGCCACCAAUUCCCUCCCACCGUCUGUUUACCCUGCACCAAUCAGCCACACUGUUGGCUUGGGGUCAGCUUCCUGCAAUGUUGCAGCCACCAAUUCCCUCCCACCCUCCAGUAGUGCUCCAGCCACCAGUCACUAUGUGACCACUGGUGGUGGGACAUCCAGCAGUGGUCACUAUGUGACCACUGGUGGUGGGACAUCCAGCAGUGUUGCAGUCUCCACCUGUCCCGUCAGAUAUGGCACUGAUGAACCCAAUAGUUCUGACUAUGCAACAUAUUUAUCAUUGAUGACCGAUUUCUCUGACCUAUCAUCGGAUGAUGAAGAAUUAAACCUUGCAAUUAUGGCUAGCAUUGAAACUCAACAGGCCCAAGCUUCUCAGUGUCAAGAAGUCUCUGUGACAGAGAUACUCCUGGAGCUGGCCAAAAAGAUCACACCACACAGUCGCUGUAAAUUCAACAUCAACCGCUCAGCUGUCCUAGAUGGUGCCUUCAGAGGUUUCAAGAGGACAACAUACAACCCCAAUGCUACCAUGAAUGUCAAGUUUUCAGAUGAUCUCGGGCGAAAUGAAGAAUCAGUUGAUUUGGGUGGGCCAAGGCGGGAAUUUCUACGCCUGCUGAUGGAGGCCUUGGUGAUGAGCCCCAUGUUCGAGGGGUCAGGUGAAAGUCAAAAUUUGGCUCUUGACAUGGCAGGUAAAUUAAAAAGACAUAAAAGUGCCCUGAAAAUAAUUAUUCUCAUGUCUUAG